RNAcentral lists this ribosomal RNA (468 nucleotides) under uncultured bacterium. Its description in RNAcentral is "partial 16S ribosomal RNA". It matches the Rfam family "Bacterial small subunit ribosomal RNA", at positions 28 to 507 of the family's 1533-position model. The record is from RNAcentral.
GACGAACGCUGGCGGCGUGCUUAACACAUGCAAGUCGAACGGAAAGGCCCUGCUUUUGUGGGGUGCUCGAGUGGCGAACGGGUGAGUAACACGUGAGUAACCUGCCCUUGACUUUGGGAUAACUUCAGGAAACUGGGGCUAAUACCGGAUAGGAGCCCCUGCUGCAGGGUGGGGGUUGGAAAGUUUCGGCGGUUGGGGAUGGACUCGCGGCUUAUCAGCUUGUUGGUGGGGUAGUGGCUUACCAAGGCUUUGACGGGUAGCCGGCCUGAGAGGGUGACCGGCCACAUUAGGACUGAGGUACGGCCCAGACUCCUACGGGAGGCAGCGGUGGGAAAUAUUGCACAAUGGGCGGAAGCAUGAUGCAGCAACGCCGCGUGCGGGAUGACGGCCUUCGGGUUGUAAACCGCUUUCGCCUGUGACGAAGCGUGGGUGACGGUAAUGGGUAAAGAAGCACCGGCUAACUACGUG